AUAAAUAUUCAUUAUGGUUCCUUAGAUCGUUUCUUCCUACUUGGAUAACUGUGGCAAUUCUAGAGCUAAUACAUGCAGUGAGCCUGAAGCCCUUUGGGCGACGGGUGCUUUUAUUAGACCAAGAUCGAUCGGGUUUCGGCCCGUAUUGUGUGGUGACUCUGGAUAACUUUGUGCUGAUCGCAUGGCCACGAGCCGGCGACGUUUCUUUCAAGUGUCUGCCUUAUCAACUUUCGAUGGUAGGUUACUUGCUUACCAUGGUUGUUACGGGUAACGGAGAAUCAGGGUUCGAUUCCGGAGAGGGAGCCUGAGAAACGGCUACCACAUCCAAGGAAGGCAGCAGGCGCGCAAAUUACCCACUCCCGGCACGGGGAGGUAGUGACGAAAAAUAACAAUACGGGACUCUUUUGAGGCCCCGUAAUUGAAAUGAGUACACUCUAAAUCCUUUAACGAGGAUCAAUUGGAGGGCAAGUCUGGUGCCAGCAGCCGCGGUAAUUCCAGCUCCAAUAGCGUAUACUAAAGCUGCUGCGGUUAAAAAGCUCGUAGUUGGAUCUCAGUUCCAGACGAGUAGUGCAUCUACCCGAUGCGACGGCUCGGACUGAACAUCAUGCCGGUCCUUUCUUGGUGCACUUCAUUGUGUGCCUCGAGAAGGCCGGUGCUUUUACUUUGAAAAAAUUAGAGUGCUCAACGCAGGCGAGUCGCCUGAAUAAACUUGCAUGGAAUAAUAGAACAAGACCUCGUUUCUGUUCUGUUGGUUUUUGGAAUACGAGGUAAUGAUUAAGAGGGACAGACGGGGGCAUUC
Molecule: ribosomal RNA, 799 nt
Filed under: Dermacentor nuttalli
Lineage: Eukaryota; Metazoa; Arthropoda; Arachnida; Ixodida; Ixodidae
Description: SSU rRNA
Rfam family: Eukaryotic small subunit ribosomal RNA
Source: RNAcentral